RNAcentral lists this ribosomal RNA (476 nucleotides) under uncultured bacterium. RNAcentral's name for it is "bacterial SSU rRNA". It matches the Rfam family "Bacterial small subunit ribosomal RNA", at positions 28 to 517 of the family's 1533-position model. The record is from RNAcentral.
GAUCAACGCUGGCGGCGUGCCUCAGACAUGCAAGUCGAACGAUUAAAGCUCUCUUCGGAGAGUGUAUAGGGUGGCGCACGGGUGAGUAACACGUAAGUAAUCUACCCUCGAGUGGGGAAUAACAACCGGAAACGGUUGCUAAUACCGCAUAAUGCAGCGGCACCGCAAGGUGACAGUUGUUAAAAGAUUUAUCGCUUGAGGAGGAGCUUGCGGCAGAUUAGCUAGUUGGUAGGGUAACGGCUUACCAAGGCUACGAUCUGUAACCGGUCUAAGAGGACGGUCGGUCACACUGACACUGAAUAACGGGUCAGACUCCUACGGGAGGCAGCAGUCGGGAAUUUUGGGCAAUGGGCGAAAGCCUGACCCAGCAACGCCGCGUGAAGGAUGAAGUAUUUCGGUAUGUAAACUUCGAAAGAAUAGGAAGAAUUAAUGACGGUACUAUUUAUAAGGUCCGGCUAACUACGUGCCAGCAGCCG